This is a non-coding RNA of Triticum aestivum (bread wheat), 135 nucleotides long. Lineage: Eukaryota; Viridiplantae; Streptophyta; Magnoliopsida; Poales; Poaceae. The record is from Rfam.
AUUGUACUCCCUCUGCCCGAAAAUACUUGUCAUCAAAAUGGAUAAAAAGAGAUGUAUCUAGAACUAAAACACGUCUAGAUACAUCCCCUUUUAUCUAUUUUGAUGACAAGUAUUUCUGGACGGAGGGAGUAACAG